This 329-nucleotide ribosomal RNA is filed under the name uncultured bacterium. RNAcentral's name for it is "bacterial SSU rRNA". It matches the Rfam family "Bacterial small subunit ribosomal RNA", at positions 29 to 329 of the family's 1533-position model. The record is from RNAcentral.
AACGAACGCUGGCGGCGUGCUUAACACAUGCAAGUCGAACGGGUUUAUUGGAUGUAGCAAUACAUUCAAUAGAUUAGUGGCGCACGGGUGAGUAACACGUAGGCAACCUACCCCUCAGUGGGGGGACAACAGAGGGAAAGGACUGCUAAUACCGAAUGAUGUAUAUCUUCCGCCAUGGAGGACAUACCAAAGACGGCCUCUAUAUAUAAGCUGUCACGGAAAGAUGGGCCUGCGUCUGAUUAGCCAGUUGGCGGGGUAAUGGCCCACCAAAGCGACGAUCAGUAGCCGGUCUGAGAGGGAUGAACGGCCACAUUGGGACUGAGACACGG